RNAcentral lists this long non-coding RNA (199 nucleotides) under Hordeum vulgare. Its description in RNAcentral is "long non-coding RNA (HVUL_LNC016955)". Lineage: Eukaryota; Viridiplantae; Streptophyta; Magnoliopsida; Poales; Poaceae. The record is from RNAcentral.
UGUUAUUCUACACAAAUUGUAAGUUACAUAAAUUAUACGAAAAUCGAAGAAACUGAAAGCGUAUAUCUUACAUAUAACUUCUUUGAUUGCAGUUUUUGUUGAUAGAUUACGAAGCUGAUCGCUUGAUCUACAUAUAACUUCUUGAAAGUCUUGGCAUCUACUCCCUUCUCUCUGGUUUGUAGGGCUUAAAUCUGAAAUC